RNAcentral lists this small RNA (126 nucleotides) under Marmota monax (woodchuck). The record is from RNAcentral. Lineage: Eukaryota; Metazoa; Chordata; Mammalia; Rodentia; Sciuridae.
GCUGGGCAUGGUAUGGUGCACGCCUGUAAUCCCAGCAGCUCGGGAAGCUGAGACAGGAGAAUGCAAAUUCAAACCCAGCCUCAGCAAUGGCAAGGUGCUAAGCAACUCAGUGAGACUCUGUCUCUA